Molecule: unclassified non-coding RNA, 349 nt
Filed under: uncultured fungus
Lineage: Eukaryota; Fungi
Description: sequence contains 5.8S rRNA gene
Rfam family: 5.8S ribosomal RNA (bases 1-53)
Source: RNAcentral
GAACGCAUAUUGCGCUCUUUGGUAUUCCGAAGAGCAUGCUUGUUUGAGUAUCAGUAAACACCUCAAAACUCUUGAUCUUUUUCAAGCGUUUUGGACUUGAGCAAACCCAACGCCUUUUCUUUUAAGAUCUGUUGCGGCGGGUUGCUUGAAAUGCAGGUGCAGCUGGACAAUCUCCUGAGCUAAAAGCAUAUUUAUUUAGUCCCGUCAAACGGAUUAUUACUUUUUGCUGCAGCUAACAUAAAGGGAGUUUUGACCAUUAUGGCUGACUGAUGCAGGAUUUCACAAGGGUCGGCAACGAUUCUUGUAAAACUCGAUCUCAAAUCAAGUAAGACUACCCGCUGAACUUAAG